This 2610-nucleotide long non-coding RNA is filed under the name Malus domestica (apple). Its description in RNAcentral is "long non-coding RNA (MDOM_LNC001294)". The record is from RNAcentral. Lineage: Eukaryota; Viridiplantae; Streptophyta; Magnoliopsida; Rosales; Rosaceae.
UUGAGAAUUGAAAGAAAAUCAAGAAGGAAGAUGAAGAGAAGAAAGAUCAACACAUAGAGUUUUAGAGAGAGAGAGAUCUAGAGAGAGAAAUAUGCUUUUGUAUUGAUUAAUUGAAUGAAGGUAACACAACUGUUUUUAUAAGAGAAAGCUUAACUACUCUAACCAAAUACUAACAACCUUACUAAAUAUAUUACUGACUGUAUUUCUAGCUUUAUUACACUUGUACCUUUAAUACUUCCCCUCAAUCUCAACUGGGGUAUCCCAUUUUGAGAUUGCAGCAAAGUCUCAAAUAGCAAACACUGAAAUAUGGACAAAUGGACGCACUGCAAAUUGAUCCUGAGCUUGAAAAUGCAUUUAGCUGUCACUUGCAGGACCAUUGGUUUUGUAUCCGGAAAGUGAGUGGAGAGUGGUAUAGUUUUGACAGUCUUUAUGCGGCACCAUUGCACCUCUCAAAUUCUCAACCGCAAUAUCAAAUUCCAAAUUUCAUUUUUUCUUCACCAUAAGUGCACCAAAAACCCAUUUCUUCUCAACUCUCUCAUGGGUUUCUGUAACAGUGAAAUCACAUUCAACUGCAUAAUCUGCACCUUUCUCAAAUUGAUAGGUAUCCAUAUUCAACAUGCUACUUGCACAGCUACUUGCUCACUAAACUGACAGGUAUUCAGAAUUUAAAUCCAUACUGUGUAGCUACUGUUCUCUUUGCUCAUCCCAUUAUCAUCACACAUCAUUUUUGCAGAUACAAUCUUCCAAAAAGAGAAUGUUCUCCAAUAUUUCUUUCAACAUACUCAGCAAGAUUAUGGAGCCAUUUUGUAUGCAAAAGCCUUUGUUUCCAAUAGAAUACAGAAUCAAAGAAUAGCCUUUUAUAAAGUUGUAACACACCCUCAUGCCGGUUAUAACAAUUCCUUGCGGGAUUACCCUUUACCGUCAUCAACUUCAUUUAACAUUGGCAUUGGCCUUUAAAACAAAAAAUUAACAAACUAUAGUGUGGCAUCGACCUUAACUAUAGUACCACGGGAUCGCCCUUUGUGGAUUUUACCAAAAAACAACUACGGCCUUAACAAUUUCAACAACAACAAAAUCAACAUCUAUGUAGGAUUACCUUUCGUGGGAUUUACCUACUCACAUCACGGAAUUACCCUUCGUGGGAUUUACCAUUUAACAACUUCUUCUACCCUUUGUGGGAUUUACCUAUUCACAUCACGGAAUUACCCUUCGUGGGAUUUACCGUUAACAACUUCUUCAAACUUCAUUGUAUAACCAGACUUACUGUAGAUUCAUGCUAACAACUGAGUUGGUUAGACUUUGAAAUUAUAGGCUGAGAUAAGCUGCUGAACAAUUUAAACCCAAUGACAAGACAUCAGAAAUUCAAGGACUUACAGAGUAACUUUACCAGCAGGACACUACUUUGUUGGCUAUUCGAAGAAAAAAUAAUCUCAACUCAGUGUAGUUGCACCGACAUGAUACCAUAAUUGCGUACUGAUCAGCAGUUGAAGUACUCUUCUUUCCUUCAACAGUUCAGGUGCAGACUAAUUCAAGGCAUCCAGUUGAAAAACAGUGCUAGAAAUUGUUCAGAGAUAAAAUAUUUCUCAAAUUCUCAUGGAAUGCAAGUCAGUUAAAUGCCUCCCUCUUGUGUGGUAGCUUUGGAUCAAGAAAGGGAGUACUCCUCAGUUCCUGAAUCUUUGGUUCUUGAGCAAAAAAAGCCCAAAAAACACAUUGGAGUUCGGCAACCAUUCAAGAUAACACAACGAAAGUAAUCAGGGUCGGGUGGGUUGCAAGUGUGUGCGUGAGUGCAAGCAUGUGUCUCCUUAAACAGGUCAUCGAAGAAGCUGUCCAUUGAGCAACUACUCGCAAGUUCACCGCCCAUGUUUGCACCCGGAAACACCUCUUGGUCGUCCAUUAGGGUGAAUAACAUGAAGACCAAAUAGGAAUAAGCUCCAACCGAGUGAAAAAGCACCAAAAUUUCAAAAAAACUUGGCCUCGACCCAGACCAAAUUUCUAGCACGAUACUCUUAACAGACUGAAAUUAGAGAAACCCAUAUGAAAAUUUGAGGUUCUUGAUUCCUGUUCUGCACGAACAGAGCGAAAUCCACCGAAUCAAUCACGACCCAGAUAAGAAUUCAACAACCCAAAAAUCUAAAAUCGAUUAGAAAUGGUUGAAAAUGAAAGAUUCCCAGCGCGGACGAUUAACAGUAGGAGCAAUUCAAAAUGGUAAAAUGAUAAAAUUGUAGAACUAUUCAAAAGAGUAAAAUGAUGAAAACGAUGAAAUCUAAUGAAAAAUGGAACCACCAGAAUCCAUGGCGUGAGCCUGGUGGCUCUGAUACCAUGUUAACUACAUUGUAACGUUUGGGAAUUGAAAGAAAAUCAAGAAGGAAGAUGAAGAGAAGAAAGAUCAACACAGAGAGUUUUAGAGAGAGAGAGAUCUAGAGAGAAAUAUGCUUUUGUAUUGAUUAAUUGAAUGAAGGUUACACAACUGUUUUUAUAAGAGAAAGCUUAACUACUCUAACCAAAUGCUAACAACUUUACUAACUAUAUUACUGACUGUAUUUCUAACUGUAUUACACUUGUACCCUUAAUAAUAAGCACAUAGCAAACCUUGUCCCUCACCGAUGUGGG